UUAUGUAAAUAUUCAAAAACAUUUAACCUACCAAUGCCUCCGUUAAUGUAAUUUUAUUGGUAUCUAUUUUUAUUUCUGAAAUUUACCACCCUCGGCUUAUACUUGAGUCAAUGUUUUCCCAGUUUUCUUGUGGUAAAAUUAGGCGCCUCGGCUUAUAUUCAGGUUGGCUUAUACUUGAGUAUAUACGGUAUAUUAAUUUUAGGCCUGUGCUGGUGUUGGCGGCUGCUUUUUCAGGAUCAUGGCAUUGGCUGCGAUGCCUGGAGAACUGCACCGGAAGGUAGUCCAGGCGGCACUGAUGUGGCUCAUGGCAAAUUCUGUGCUGGCGCCAUGCCCCUCGAGGUGGGUCCCGUACAGGGAGGAACUUUGCCUCUUCCUCCCGCCUGCGCCUGCUCUUUCAUGGGAUGAAGCCAGGGUCUUCUGCCAGGACCAGAGGGCACAGCUUGUUGUCAUCAAGGACCACAAUAAGCAGGUAAAUGGUGACUCUUCCUUCCAGCUAUCUCAUACUGGGACAUAUUGCCUAUCUGAGGGUUGACAUCUGGCCUGACUGAGACCGCCUCCUGCAGCCCCUCUUUUCCCUUUUGGCACCAAAACCCCAACCUGUGCAUGAUUCGUCCUUCCAAAUCAUGUGCUGAUUAUUACCUGCUUGGCAGGCUCCCAGGUUGUCCCUUCGUUCUUCCCAUGCCUUUCCCCCUCCCAACCACAUUCCCUAUAUCAGGGGUCCCCAAACUAAGGCCCGGGGGCCAGAUGCGGCCCAUCAAAGCUAUUUAUCCGGCCCCCACGGCACAAGGGGGUUGGGCUAAAUGACCCAAGGGGUCUCUUUUUCUCUUACAACCAUUAUUAUUAUUAUUAUUAAACAUUGAGGCUGGGUGGCCAUCUGUCAGGGAUGCUUUGCUUGUGCUUUUGGUGCACAAAGGCAGAAGGAGUUGGAUUAAAUGGCCCAAGGGGUCUCUUCCAACCCUCUUUAUUAUUAUUACUAUUAUUAUUAUUAUGACACAGCAAACAAGAUAGAUAUGCUGGAUUUCAUAUCACAAAAUCACAAGUCGAACACUUCCCAAGUGUCUAGGACUGUGUGAUGUAUUUUCGGAUGAUGCGCGCAGAUCCCGGCAGGGUGGCCUUUUGCAGCUGGCAGAUCGUAAUUUUGUCAAUGUCUAUUGUUUCCAAAUGCCGGCUGAGAUCUUUUGGCACGGCACCCAAUGUGCCCAUCACCAUCGGGACCAUUAUUAUUAUUAUUAUUAUUAUUAACAUUGAGGCUGGGUGGCCAUCUGUCAGGGGUGCUUUGCUUGUGCUUUUGGCGCACAAAGGCUGUCACAGACAGAACGCCAGCGAGUAAAACAAAACUCAGUUUAUUGAGGUUACAGAACUAAAAACACACGUAGGAAACAAAGAACAGGGCAAACACUUGACUUCAGUGUGAUAAGUAACAAAAAACAGCUCAGUUUGAGCUUAAACGGUUCAAAGGGAUAAACCGGGUUAAACAGAAGUAUAAUCCUGAUUAAAUCAAAGGUGCUUACUUCAGCCUGGCAAACAAUGCAAACAAAAGAGGAUCAACAGGAGUCAGAAUGUAAACAACAGACUGGUAGCAGAUUCCUCUCUGCUACUCAGAAACAGCAGGAGAAUAAACCAGGCUUGUUUAUUCCUUCCUGCAGCGAACGAAAAGCGUGGUCGUAGUCAGGAUUCAGUUUAAGGUUCAGCGGCCAACGAUAUCCAGGUCCAGGCACAGCAGUCAGGGUAACGGCAGUCAGCAGGGUCCCAAUCCGGUCCAGAGGUCAAUAGCCAAGCGUAGUCGUCUAGGAAAUCCAAAGGUCUCACCGAUAGCCAGCAGAAGGGAUAAUCCGGAAUCGAAGUCAGUCAGUCCAGCGUCAAUCCAGUGCGAGUAGAUAUUGCCCGUCAAAAAGACGACGGAGGUCCAAGGUGUCCAGUAACGAAUCACACCCGUCUUCAGGAAGUUCCCCAACAAAAGCCCAAGCGUCCGUCCAGAUUACCUUGCCCAACGCAAUUAGACAUUGGUCCCAAACCCCAAUUUAUCCCAGUUCAAGCUCAUCAUCGCUGUCAGCUGCCAUCCCAAUUCCAGGUGCCCCAACAUCAUCAUCCACAUCAGAGCUUAAGCACCUUUGACUACGCCCCACAGCAUCCCCAGCUGUGGAUCCCGCUCCAUCCCUCCAGCCAGUCCAUGGGUCUGAUCCUGCAACCCGCCAAUCACCUCCCAUGCUUUCAUUGCCUGUUUCCCCAACACCCAAAUCCUCCUUCACACGAGUCCAUUCCAUGUCGUCCUCCUCCGAGCUGGCCAUCUCUUCCUCCAAACCCUCAGAAAAACCCUCAAAUGAGUCCUCAUCUGUCGGGUCUGUAAACAAAUCCCGGAGCCGUUUUCUUUCACGCUCCUCGAAAGAGUCUGACUCUCGAGGAGUCUUAUGACCCCUUCUUCUAUUACCGGAGCCCGAAGGCUCAACCAUAACAAAGGCAGAAGGGGAUUGGACUCAAUGGCCCAAAGGGUCUCGUCCAACCCUCUUUAUUGUUGUUGUUGUUGUUGUUGUUGUUAUUAAUUGGCUCGGUGGCCAACUAUAGUCCGGCCCUCCAACGGUCCGAAGGAUCGUGAACCGGCCUCCUAUUUAAAAAGUUUGGGGACCCCUGCCCUAUAUGUUUCCUGGCCCUUGCCGAGAACAAGUCUGAGAAACAGUCCUGUCAGAUGCUUAUUUGGGGCUUGGAGGAAGCCCUUCCGCAUGUCUGAAGCUGCUCUUCCGAUGCCUUGGAGCAGAUGUUCCUGACGGACCUCAUCGCCAGACUCGGG
Anolis carolinensis (green anole) is the source of this 2785-nucleotide long non-coding RNA. Lineage: Eukaryota; Metazoa; Chordata; Lepidosauria; Squamata; Anolidae. The record is from Ensembl.